RNAcentral lists this non-coding RNA (24 nucleotides) under Arabidopsis thaliana (thale cress). Lineage: Eukaryota; Viridiplantae; Streptophyta; Magnoliopsida; Brassicales; Brassicaceae. The record is from RNAcentral.
UAAAAGCGAAUAAUUCGGCACGGA